Molecule: ribosomal RNA, 254 nt
Filed under: uncultured bacterium
Lineage: Bacteria
Description: partial 16S ribosomal RNA
Rfam family: Bacterial small subunit ribosomal RNA
Source: RNAcentral
UACGAGUGCUUCGAGCGUUAUCCGGAAUCAUUGGGCGUAAAGGGUGUGUAGGCGGUGUCAUUAGUCCGUUGUAAAAUUCCUCGGCUCAACCGAGGGCUCGCAAUGGAAACGGUGACACUAAGAGGAUGGAAGGGGUCUCUGGAACUCAUGGUGUAGCGGUGAAAUGCGUUGAUAUCAUGGGGAACACCAAAAGCGAAGGCAAGAGACUGGUCCACUCCUGACGCUGAAACACGAAAGCGUGGGUCGCGAAUGGG